GCGCCGUUGGUGUAGCGGUAACACACAAUCUGAAUUUGCCGAGAAACGAUGUAAUUGAGGUUGAGUCCUGGGUUCGACUCCCAGACGGCGCA
Molecule: non-coding RNA, 92 nt
Organism: Mycena epipterygia
Lineage: Eukaryota; Fungi; Basidiomycota; Agaricomycetes; Agaricales; Mycenaceae
Source: the annotation of a GenBank genome assembly